UUGUAUGUGACAAGUGCGGACAAAUCUGGAAAACUAGAUUGGCCUGUGGUUUCUGAGCAAGCCCAGCUUUUGAGAAAGCUAGCACCUCUUCGAUUUUUGAAUUGUUGGAAAUGUGCCCUAAAACCAAUCAUAUGAUGAUACUUUACGGACAUUUCACAUGUUAAACUAAUCUAGUUUAAUAUCAAGGGCAAAGAUUAUUGUUUGAGCCGUCUCAUAUAAAUGUUAUAUGCUUAAACGAUAAGUCCAAGAAAUAUGUGAUUGGGAGAAUGCGAUCUAAAGAAGUUAGAUUCAUGAGACCAUUCUUUCGUAGACAUAUCCUAAACGUUCCUGAUCAUAGGAUUGCCAAUUGGGCAUUGACAGUCCGUUAAGAU
RNAcentral lists this long non-coding RNA (371 nucleotides) under Malus domestica (apple). RNAcentral's name for it is "long non-coding RNA (MDOM_LNC020841)". The record is from RNAcentral. Lineage: Eukaryota; Viridiplantae; Streptophyta; Magnoliopsida; Rosales; Rosaceae.